This 393-nucleotide ribosomal RNA is filed under the name uncultured bacterium. RNAcentral's name for it is "partial 16S ribosomal RNA". It matches the Rfam family "Bacterial small subunit ribosomal RNA", at positions 523 to 918 of the family's 1533-position model. The record is from RNAcentral.
AUACGGAGGAUCCGAGCGUUAUCCGGAUUUAUUGGGUUUAAAGGGAGCGUAGGCGGAGGAUCAAGUCAGCUGUGAAAUGUAGACGCUCAACGUCUGCACUGCAGUUGAAACUGGUCCCCUUGAGUGCGUAAGGGGCAGGCGGAAUUCGUCGUGUAGCGGUGAAAUGCUUAGAUAUGACGAAGAACUCCGAUCGCGAAGGCAGGUGGUCGGGCCGCAACUGACGCUGAAGCUCGAAGGUGCGGGUAUCGAACAGGAUUAGAUACCCUGGUAGUCCGCACAGUAAACGAUGGAUACUCGCUGUCGGCGAUAUACGGUCGGUGGCCAAGCGAAAGCGUUAAGUAUCCCACCUGGGGAGUACGCCGGCAACGGUGAAACUCAAAGGAAUUGACGGGG